GAUGAACGCUAGCGGCAGGCCUAACACAUGCAAGUCGAACGGCAGCACGGGAGCAAUCCUGGUGGCGAGUGGCGAACGGGUGAGUAAUAUAUCGGAACGUGCCCAGUCGUGGGGAUAACGUAGCGAAAGCUACGCUAAUACCGCAUACGAUCUAUGGAUGAAAGCGGGGGAUCGCAAGACCUCGCGCGAUUGGAGCGGCCGAUAUCAGAUUAGGUAGUUGGUGAGGUAAAGGCUCACCAAGCCGACGAUCUGUAGCUGGUCUGAGAGGACGACCAGCCACACUGGGACUGAGACACGGCCCAGACUCCUACGGGAGGCAGCAGUGGGGAAUUUUUGGACAAUGGGCGCAAGCCUGAUCCAGCAAUGCCGCGUGCAGGAUGAAGGCCUU
RNAcentral lists this ribosomal RNA (388 nucleotides) under uncultured bacterium. RNAcentral's name for it is "bacterial SSU rRNA". It matches the Rfam family "Bacterial small subunit ribosomal RNA", at positions 28 to 418 of the family's 1533-position model. The record is from RNAcentral.